RNAcentral lists this ribosomal RNA (493 nucleotides) under uncultured bacterium. Its description in RNAcentral is "partial 16S ribosomal RNA". It matches the Rfam family "Bacterial small subunit ribosomal RNA", at positions 28 to 506 of the family's 1533-position model. The record is from RNAcentral.
GACGAACGCUGGCGGCGUGCUUAACACAUGCAAGUCGAACGGAAAGGCCUGCUUUCCCUUGUGGAUUGCGGGUACUCGAGUGGCGAACGGGUGAGUAACACGUGAGUGAUCUGCCCCCAACUUGGGUAUAAGCCUGGGAAACUGGGUCUAAUUCCCGAUAGGACUGCAGGGUGGUGCCUGUGGUGGAAAACGAUUUUCUAGUGGUUGGGGAUGAGCUCGCGGCCUAUCAGCUUGUUGGUGGGGUAAUGGCCUACCAAGGCGGCGACGGGUAGCCGGCCUGGGAGGGUGGACGGCCACAUUGGGCCGGGGCACCGGCCCGAGCCCCGCCGGGGGGCAGCAGUGGGGGAUAGUGCACAAUGGGGGGAAGCCUGGUGCCGGGCCGGCGCGGGGGGGAUGCCGGCCUUGGGGGUGUAAACUCCUUUCGGACGGGGGGAAGCCACCUGGUUGGAAGGGUGGGGCGGGUAGUGGUAGAAGAGGCACCGCCAACUUCCGG